This 443-nucleotide ribosomal RNA is filed under the name uncultured bacterium. RNAcentral describes it as "partial 16S ribosomal RNA". It matches the Rfam family "Bacterial small subunit ribosomal RNA", at positions 338 to 795 of the family's 1533-position model. The record is from RNAcentral.
CCUACGGGAGGCAGCAGUGAGGAAUCUUGCGCAAUGGGCGCAAGCCUGACCCAGCAACGCCGCGUGAAGGAAGAAGGCUUUCGGGUUGUAAACUUCUUUUAUCAGGGACGAAGCAAGUGACGGUAACUGAUGCAUAAGCCACGGCUAACUACGUGCCAGCCGCCGCGGUAAUACGUAGGUGGCAAGCGUUAUCCGGAUUUACUGGGUGUAAAGGGCGUGUAGGCGGGAGGUCAAGCCAGAUGUGAAAACUAUGGGCUCAACCCAUAGCCUGCAUUUGAAACUGUACUUCUUGAGUGCUGAAGAGGCAAUCGGAAUUCCGUGUGUAGCGGUGAAAUGCGUAGAUAUACGGAGGAACACCAGUGGCGAAGGCGAAUUUCUGGUCAGUAACUGACGCUGAGGCGCGAAAGCGUGGGGAGCAAACAGGAUUAGAUACCCGAGUAGUC